This 207-nucleotide ribosomal RNA is filed under the name uncultured bacterium. RNAcentral describes it as "partial 16S ribosomal RNA". It matches the Rfam family "Bacterial small subunit ribosomal RNA", at positions 568 to 774 of the family's 1533-position model. The record is from RNAcentral.
UGCGUAGGCGGAUCUUUAAGUCAGUGGUGAAAUCCUCCCGCUUAACGGGAGAACUGCCAUUGAUACUAUUGAUCUUGAAUACAGUUGAGGUGGGCGGAAUGUGUCGUGUAGCGGUGAAAUGCUUAGAUAUGACACAGAACACCGAUUGCGAAGGCAGCUCGCUAAACUGUGAUUGACGCUGAGGCACGAAAGCGCGGGGAUCAAACA